This 602-nucleotide ribosomal RNA is filed under the name Hansenula sydowiorum. Its description in RNAcentral is "LSU rRNA". It matches the Rfam family "Eukaryotic large subunit ribosomal RNA", at positions 35 to 652 of the family's 3401-position model. The record is from RNAcentral. Lineage: Eukaryota; Fungi; Ascomycota; Saccharomycetes; Phaffomycetales; Wickerhamomycetaceae.
UAAGCAUAUCAAUAAGCGGAGGAAAAGAAACCAACAGGGAUUGCCUCAGUAACGGCGAGUGAAGCGGCAAAAGCUCAAAUUUGAAAUCUAGCACCUUCGGUGUUCGAGUUGUAAUUUGAAGAUGGUAAUCUUGGGUUUGGCUCUUGUCUAUGUUCCUUGGAACAGGACGUCAUAGAGGGUGAGAAUCCCGUCUGAUGAGAUGCCCAUUCCUUUGUAAGAUACUAUCGAAGAGUCGAGUUGUUUGGGAAUGCAGCUCUAAGUGGGUGGUAAAUUCCAUCUAAAGCUAAAUAUUGGCGAGAGACCGAUAGCGAACAAGUACAGUGAUGGAAAGAUGAAAAGAACUUUGAAAAGAGAGUGAAAAAGUACGUGAAAUUGUUGAAAGGGAAGGGCAUUAGAUCAGACUUGGUGUUUUAUGAUUAUCUUCUCUUCUUGAGUUGUGCACUCGUAUUUCACUGGGCCAGCAUCGAUUCGGAUGGCAAGAUAAUGACAGUUGAACGUGGCUCCACUUGUGGAGUGUUAUAGCUUCUGUUGAUAUUGCCUGUCUGGAUCGAGGGCUGCGUCUUAUGACUAGGAUGCUGGCGUAAUGAUCUAAUGCCGCCCGU